Molecule: transfer RNA, 94 nt
Filed under: compost metagenome
Description: tRNA-Ala
Source: RNAcentral
GCUGGCCUGGCGCAGCGACUCCACGGUCUGGCUGCUGGCAUCGCCCAACUGUGCCAGGGCAUGGUUGAUCUGUUCGGCGCCGGUGGCCUGGGCC